This 323-nucleotide ribosomal RNA is filed under the name uncultured Ruhlandiella. RNAcentral's name for it is "eukaryotic LSU rRNA". The stretch from base 1 to 102 matches the Rfam family "5.8S ribosomal RNA", at positions 53 to 154 of the family's 154-position model. The record is from RNAcentral. Lineage: Eukaryota; Fungi; Ascomycota; Pezizomycetes; Pezizales; Pezizaceae.
AUGCGAUAAGUAAUAUAAAUUGUAGAAUCUCGUGAAUCAUUGAAUCUUUCAACACAUAUUGCGCCCUAUGGUAUUCCGUAGGGCAUGCCUGUCUGAGUAUCAGCUCCCCCACACUCAAACUUCUUAAUUGAAGGUCGGAUUACUUUAAAGAAGCAGCUGAAAUAUAAUAGGCUACUCUUUAGAAAUUGAUAGGCAGAAUGGCACCUGAACAAGGCGUAAUGAGAAUAUACAAGCGUCUCUCUUUAGGAAGGUUGUACUUGCUUUAACCCAACCAUUUUCUUCUGGGUGACCUCAGAUCAGGUAGCGAUACCCGCUGAACUUAA